UUCUCUCUCCUUUUCUACAUUGACUCAGACUCACCAAAGCCCUCAUUUUUUCACAAUGUAUGAUUGUUUCCCUUUCUCCAAUUUUGCAAUCUAUCUCUCUCUCUCUUUCUCUUUCUCCAUUGAGUCAGACUUACCAAAACUUUCUUAUGCAUUUUUUGUUCUUAAUAUGAUUUUUUUUCCUCGACAAAUCGGUGGGUUCUUCGUUCAUAUGUAUGAUUUCUUCUUACAACUUCCUAUAUCUACAUUAUCUCACUCACCGACUCAAACUUCAUUAUCAUCAGAUCUUAUAGCAAGGUAAGACGUAUAAAUAAGGUAACAUAUUUUAUUCAUCUCUCACCAUUUUUAUAACAUAUCACUUUGCAUGUUCAUUUUAUGUCACCUGUUUAUUUAGGCUUUUUUUAAAAUUAAUAUUUUUGGUAGAAACAUUAUUUGAAAAGAUAAAAAUUUGAAUUUUAGGUUUUAGCUUUUCUUUCCUAAAAAAUCUUAUUCUGAAGCCUUAAGCAUUUCAAGUGAUUUGAAGCCUCACGCCCAAUUUUUCAGUUCAUUUUCUAUUCACAUUUGAACUCGCUUGAUCUGAAAGUUUUCAGAUUAAAUUUUCAGAUCUUUAUGGAUUUUCAGUGUCAAAUCUUUCAUAUGAUGAUCAAUAUAUUUUCUGUAAUUUUCAGCUCUCAACUUUUUGAACUAGCUUUUAAGUAUUUAGUUGAACAUAAUAAUCUCCCACAACAAGCAAACACACUUUUCCACAUGUAUGCCAUUUACAGUUACAUUUGCAAAAUUUAUGUGAUUUGUUCCCUUAUCUCGGUUGAUCCUUAAAAGAAAACAUAAAACUUGCAACUUUGUUUUUUGUUUUUGUUUUGAAGGGUUACUUUUUCCGGAAACACUGUAGCAGAUUCCUAAGUUUCAAUAUUGAACUAAUUAAGUAGCAACUAGCCCUAUACUAACAAAGUAACCUUUGAUAUUUAAACACUCAUACACCUAUCAACCUAAGUUAAUGAUGUUUAAAUUAUAGAUUGACAAAUGUAAAUUAAAAUAGUAAUAUGCUCCCAACAUAUCAAUAAUAGGAUUUGAUAUGGUUAGCCAAUAAUUUACACAUAAUAUAUAAGAAGUAUAGAAUAUCAAGGGUAAAAGAAAACAUUAUCCAAUAUAAAUUUCCUAUAUUUGAUUGUUGAUCUAUAUUUUUAAGUUAUAAGAGAUAGAAAUGAAGCACAAAAGUAAAGACAUAGGGAAGCUUUCAAGAGUCAUAGUUCCAUCGAGUAAGUUUUAUGCUAUUCCUAAUUUCAUCCUUCUGCUAUUGGUUUUUAUGAUAUUAUGUUUUUUUUUUAUGGUUUGAGAUAUUGAUUCUUUUGAUAACAAUACAAGUAGGUGAUAAAAGAAAGAAGCCAGAGGAAGAAAAAUGCAUUAUCAUGCGCUCUGUUGGAUGAAGCUUUUUUUAUAGUUUAAGAUAACAUUUUUUGUAUGAGUUCAAGAUAAUAUUUUUGUAGGAGUUCAACAUAACAUUUUUACUGCAACAUAUCGGAGCUACCAUCACGAGCACCUCACUGAGCCAUCACAAC
Molecule: long non-coding RNA, 1553 nt
Filed under: Lupinus angustifolius (narrow-leaved blue lupine)
Lineage: Eukaryota; Viridiplantae; Streptophyta; Magnoliopsida; Fabales; Fabaceae
Description: long non-coding RNA (LANG_LNC002260)
Source: RNAcentral